Triticum aestivum (bread wheat) is the source of this 124-nucleotide non-coding RNA. NCBI's taxonomy places the organism in Eukaryota, Viridiplantae, Streptophyta, Magnoliopsida, Poales, Poaceae. The record is from Rfam.
UAAAUACUCCCUCCGUCUGGAAAUACUUGUCCUAGAAAUGGAUCAAAUGAAUGUAUCUAUAACUAAAAUAAGUCUAAAUACAAUCAUUUCUAGGACAAGUAUUUCCAUACAGAGGGAGUACAAG